Molecule: ribosomal RNA, 404 nt
Filed under: Actinomycetes bacterium
Lineage: Bacteria; Bacillati; Actinomycetota; Actinomycetes
Description: Actinobacteria bacterium partial 16S ribosomal RNA
Rfam family: Bacterial small subunit ribosomal RNA
Source: RNAcentral
UGGGGAAUAUUGGACAAUGGGCGCAAGCCUGAUCCAGCCAUGCCGCGUGAGGGAUGAAGGCCCUAGGGUUGUAAAGCUCUUUCACCGGUGAAGAUAAUGACGGUAACCGGAGAAGAAGCCCCGGCUAACUUCGUGCCAGCAGCCGCGGUAAUACGAAGGGGGCUAGCGUUGUUCGGAUUUACUGGGCGUAAAGCGCACGUAGGCGGACUUUUAAGUCAGGGGUGAAAUCCCGGGGCUCAACCCCGGAACUGCCUUUGAUACUGGAAGUCUUGAGUAUGGUAGAGGUGGGUGGAAUUCCGGGUGUAGAGGUGAAAUUCGUAGAUAUUCGGAGGAACACCAGUGGCGAAGGCGGCUCGCUGGACCAUUACUGACGCUGAGGUGCGAAAGCGUGGGGAGCAAACAGG